CACCUCCAGACGAGGGAAGGGAAGCUGGCACUGUGCCUGGAGAAGCCAUUUCAGAUGCUUACUGGGUUGAUUCUGACCACAGAAUAGGAGAAUAUUCCCAUUUCCUCUCAAACUCUCUCAUGCAAGUUACCUGGGCCCUGCAGAGCAAGCACAAGGGCAGGCUUGGGAAGGAAAUAUAGAAGAAUUGUUCAUCAGACAACGAGAAUGCAGCUGCACAGAAUAGAGACAUAACACGGGAGCCUCAUGAAUCCAGAGCUACGCUGCGGGAGGCCAGGAGCAAAUAAAUAUUUCACAAAGUGUUAGCACAAGA
Pipra filicauda (Wire-tailed manakin) is the source of this 310-nucleotide long non-coding RNA. RefSeq lists it as uncharacterized. Lineage: Eukaryota; Metazoa; Chordata; Aves; Passeriformes; Pipridae. The record is from RefSeq and is a predicted model, not a curated record. The transcript is spliced from 3 exons.